GACAGAGGGUGCAAACGUUGUUCGGAAUUACUGGGCGUAAAGCGCGUGUAGGCGGCUAAGUAAGUCGGGCGUGAAAUCCCACGGCUCAACCGUGGAAGUGCACUCGAAACUGCAUAGCUAGAGUCCUGGAGAGGAAGGUGGAAUGCUUGGUGUAGAGGUGAAAUUCGUAGAUAUCAAGCGGAACACCGGUGGCGAAGGCGGCCUUCUGGACAGUGACUGACGCUGAGACGCGAAAGCGUGGGGAGCAAAC
Molecule: ribosomal RNA, 250 nt
Filed under: uncultured bacterium
Lineage: Bacteria
Description: partial 16S ribosomal RNA
Rfam family: Bacterial small subunit ribosomal RNA
Source: RNAcentral